This is a long non-coding RNA of Penaeus monodon (black tiger shrimp), 779 nucleotides long. RefSeq lists it as uncharacterized. NCBI's taxonomy places the organism in Eukaryota, Metazoa, Arthropoda, Malacostraca, Decapoda, Penaeidae. The record is from RefSeq and is a predicted model, not a curated record. The transcript is spliced from 2 exons.
UCAGAUACCAUUGCUGGAUAUGCGUACCUGAUGUUAUACUGGUGUGCCCCGGCCUGCCCAAGACGCGUUCAGGCAAGAUCAUGCGAAGGAUCCUGAGGAAGGUGGCGGCGGGGCAGCCCGAGGAGAUGGGCGAUAUCUCCACCCUCGCCGACCCCUCCGUCGUCGAGGCCAUCGUCAGCGCCCACAAGGCUCUGAACACUCCUUGACACGUCAACCACCCCACGUUCCUUUAUCCGUAGCAAUCCCCUCUUUGUCCUUAACAAUCCACACUUUAUCACAUUCCUCUCUGUCUCUCUCUCUCUUCCCUCUCUUAUCAACGCGGCGUUAUCUCUUCUUGCACUUUAGUUUCCCCGUCGUUUACAAGCAGACGUUCACCGACGAUAAGCAAUCACUCGUUCCCGACGCUUCUUAUCGUGCUAUCGCCGAUCUGUCUGAAGAGGAAGUUUGCAGAGAGAGAGAGAGAGAGAGAGAGAGAGAGAGAGAGAGAGAGAGAGAGAGAGAGAGAGAGAGAGAGAGAGAAUAAAGGAAGAAAGAGAAAGAGAGGGAAAAAGAGAGAGAGGAACGUCUGUGCUUCUCUGCCCCCGCCGCCUCGGUGCUUCUCGGACCCCAAGUGGUAAAAGGUUUCUGCACUUGUUAGGUGAAUUUAUUUGUUAUUUGUAUAGUUUAAAUAGAUUUACAGAAACUGUUGUUGUCAUUUUUUGGAAUAUUUUCAUUUUACCCCCUAAUUGAUGGAGAAGAUGUUACAUAUUCAAACAAUCACAAUUAAUUGCUUUACAUAA